This 429-nucleotide ribosomal RNA is filed under the name uncultured bacterium. RNAcentral's name for it is "bacterial SSU rRNA". It matches the Rfam family "Bacterial small subunit ribosomal RNA", at positions 355 to 776 of the family's 1533-position model. The record is from RNAcentral.
UGGGGAAUAUUGGACAAUGGGGGCAACCCUGAUCCAGCGAUGCCGCGUGGGUGAAGAAGGCCUUCGGGUUGUAAAGCCCUUUAGGUCGGGAAGAAGGUUGUUGGGUUAAUACCCCGACAAUUUGACGGUACCGACAGAAUAAGCACCGGCAAACUCUGUGCCAGCAGCCGCGGUAAUACAGAGGGUGCGAGCGUUAAUCGGAUUAACUGGGCGUAAAGGGCGCGUAGGCGGUUAUAUGUGUGGGAUGUGAAAGCCCCGGGCUUAACCUGGGAAGUGCAUACCAAACUAUAUAACUGGAGUAUAUGAGAGGGAGGCGGAAUUUCCGGUGUAGCGGUGAAAUGCGUAGAGAUCGGAAGGAACGUCAAUGGCGAAGGCAGCCUCCUGGCAUAAUACUGACGCUGAGGCGCGAAAGCGUGGGGAGCAAACAGG